This 106-nucleotide small RNA is filed under the name bovine gut metagenome. Its description in RNAcentral is "Ribosomal protein L10 leader". It matches the Rfam family "Ribosomal protein L10 leader". From Rfam's summary of the family: This family is a putative r-protein leader autoregulatory structure found in B. subtilis and other low-GC Gram-positive bacteria. It is located in the 5' untranslated regions of mRNAs encoding ribosomal proteins L10 and L12 (rplJ-rplL). The record is from RNAcentral.
UAAAAAAACUUUUUAUCCAAAGACAGCAGGGGCGAGUAGCUUAAUUAUCCUGCCGAGGAAGGUUAUAAAAUAAAACUCUAACUUUCCUCAUGGAAAGUUUUUUUAU